CAGUCGAACGAUGACGACCGUGCUUGCACGGUCUGAUUAGUGGCGAACGGGUGAGUAACACGUGAGUAACCUGCCCCUCACUUCGGGAUAACCUCGGGAAAUCGUGGCUAAUACCGGAUACGAGCACUCAUCGCAUGGUGGGUGUUGGAAAGAUUUAUCGGUGGGGGAUGGACUCGCGGCCUAUCAGUUUGUUGGUGAGGUGAUGGCUCACCAAGACGAUGACGGGUAGCCGGCCUGAGAGGGCGACCGGCCACACUGGGACUGAGACACGGCCCAGACUCCUACGGGAGGCAGCAGUGGGGAAUAUUGCACAAUGGGCGAAAGCCUGAUGCAGCGACGCCGCGUGGGGGAUGACGGCCUUCGGGUUGUAAACCCCUUUCAGUAGGGAAGAAGCGAGAGUGACGGUACCUGCAGAAGAAGCGCCGGCUAACUACGUGCCAGCAGCCGCGGUAAUACGUAGGGCGCAAGCGUUGUCCGGAAUUAUUGGGCGUAAAGAGCUUGUAGGUGGCUUGUCGCGUCUGCCGUGAAAACCCGAGGCUCAACCUCGGGCGUGCGGUGGGUACGGGCAGGCUAGAGUGUGGUAGGGGAGACUGGAACUCCUGGUGUAGCGGUGAAAUGCGCAGAUAUCAGGAAGAACACCGAUGGCGAAGGCAGGUCUCUGGGCCAUUACUGACACUGAGAAGCGAAAGCAUGGGUAGCGAACAGGAUUAGAUACCCUGGUAGUCCAUGCCGUAAACGUUGGGCACUAGGUGUGGGGGACAUUCCACGUUUUCCGCGCCGUAGCUCACGCAUUAAGUGCCCCGCCUGGGGAGUACGGCCGCAAGGCUAAAACUCAAAGGAAUUGACGGGGGCCCGCACAAGCGGCGGA
This 868-nucleotide ribosomal RNA is filed under the name Brachybacterium sp. Its description in RNAcentral is "bacterial SSU rRNA". It matches the Rfam family "Bacterial small subunit ribosomal RNA", at positions 59 to 936 of the family's 1533-position model. The record is from RNAcentral. Lineage: Bacteria; Bacillati; Actinomycetota; Actinomycetes; Micrococcales; Dermabacteraceae.